This 676-nucleotide long non-coding RNA is filed under the name Homo sapiens (human). RNAcentral's name for it is "HSALNT0401200". Lineage: Eukaryota; Metazoa; Chordata; Mammalia; Primates; Hominidae. The record is from RNAcentral.
AUACGUUAAAGAGUAACCAGUCACUUAGGGAACCCGCGGCUGGGGACUGUUGCUGUCUCCAUGGCAAUGGCGACCUGGCCAGACCUGAGGUCCACUCGGGUCCUAGUCCUGCACUCUGGGGUUAGGGGAACCCAGAGCCAGGUGUAUGGGGACAUCAGCCCCCCAAUUUGAGGACAGGGCCGGAGCAGAAGGGGCUGGAGAGUUCUGAGAGCCGAGGAAGCAGGAAGGAGCUGUGAGAGACUGAGCUCUAACCUUGGCCAUCAAAGACAAGCUGUGCAGCUCUGGUUUUUUGAGGGCAGGACAUGGAGGGUCAGGCCCAGCUGGAGGCGCACCAAAGCCCAGAGAAAAUUCAGAACCACGUGAACUUGUUGGAUUUCAGCCCCUUGAAGCACAUGUUGCUAUUGCAGCUGCCUUGAUAACUGGGGGGACAGGAGGAGCACGGCUUUCCCAUCUUGUACGGGGACUCGCCAAUCCAGUUGCCCCUGGAAGAGAAAAGGACCCAGGGAGACAGAGGAGCAUUAGGUGAGUAACCUUCACACAGAUGUCCAGAUCUCAGCGCUGCCACUGACCAGCCCUGGGGACCUGGGGCAAGUCACAUCUGCAAGCCUUGGUUUCUUUUUUUUCUUUCCUUUAUUUAUUUAUUUAUUUAUUUUGUUUUGCUCUGUCACCCAUAGCU